This 399-nucleotide ribosomal RNA is filed under the name uncultured bacterium. Its description in RNAcentral is "bacterial SSU rRNA". It matches the Rfam family "Bacterial small subunit ribosomal RNA", at positions 31 to 420 of the family's 1533-position model. The record is from RNAcentral.
GAACGCUGGCGGCGUGCCUAAUACAUGCAAGUCGAGCGAAUCAAUAGGAGCUUGCUCCUGUUGAUUAGCGGCGGACGGGUGAGUAACACGUGGGCAACCUGCCUGUAAGACUGGGAUAACUUCGGGAAACCGGAGCUAAUACCGGAUAAUCCUUUUCCACACAUGUGGGAAAGCUGAAAGUCGGUUUCGGCUGACACUUACAGAUGGGCCCGCGGCGCAUUAGCUAGUUGGUGAGGUAACGGCUCACCAAGGCGACGAUGCGUAGCCGACCUGAGAGGGUGAUCGGCCACACUGGGACUGAGACACGGCCCAGACUCCUACGGGAGGCAGCAGUAGGGAAUCUUCCGCAAUGGACGAAAGUCUGACGGAGCAACGCCGCGUGAGCGAUGAAGGCCUUCG